GGGGAAUAUUGCACAAUGGGCGGAAGCCUGAUGCAGCAACGCCGCGUGAGUGAAGAAGGUUUUCGGAUUGUAAAGCUCUGUCAUCCGGGACGAUAAUGACGGUACCGGAUGAGGAAGCCACGGCUAACUACGUGCCAGCAGCCGCGGUAAUACGUAGGUGGCGAGCGUUGUCCGGAAUUACUGGGCGUAAAGGGUGCGCAGGCGGACAUCUAAGUGAGAUGUGAAAUACCCGGGCUUAACCCGGGCAGUGCAUUUCAAACUGGUGUCUGGAGUGCAGGAGAGGAGAACGGAAUUCCUAGUGUAGCGGUGAAAUGCGUAGAGAUUAGGAAGAACACCAGUGGCGAAGGCGGUUCUCUGGACUGUAACUGACGCUGAGGCACGAAAGCGUGGGUAGCAAAC
Molecule: ribosomal RNA, 399 nt
Filed under: uncultured bacterium
Lineage: Bacteria
Description: bacterial SSU rRNA
Rfam family: Bacterial small subunit ribosomal RNA
Source: RNAcentral